AGUAACGGCGAGUGAAGCGGCAACAGCUCAAAUUUGAAAUCUGGCCUCUUUUGGGGUCCGAGUUGUAAUUUGUAGAGGAUGUUUUGGGUACCGCACUGGUUUAAAUUUCUUGGAACAGAAUGUCAGAGAGGGUGAGAAU
This 139-nucleotide ribosomal RNA is filed under the name Herpotrichiellaceae sp. Its description in RNAcentral is "partial large subunit ribosomal RNA". It matches the Rfam family "Eukaryotic large subunit ribosomal RNA", at positions 82 to 219 of the family's 3401-position model. The record is from RNAcentral. Lineage: Eukaryota; Fungi; Ascomycota; Eurotiomycetes; Chaetothyriales; Herpotrichiellaceae.